GGGGGAAAAAUUAAUUAAUAAUUAUAUUAAUAAAAAAAUUUUUAAAGUAUAUUUUAAUGGGGGUUAAAGUAUAUGUAUAGAAAAAAUUUUUAGAUUUAUAGUAGAAUAGUAUUGUAAAAGAAUUUUGAAAUAGGGAAAAUUAAUUUAAUAAAAAGUAAUUUUAAUUUAUUGUAUCUUGUGUAUCAGAGUUUAUUAAUAAUUUUUUUUGAUUUAAAAUUUCUCGAAUUUAAAAGAGUUAAUUAAUUAUAAAAGUUAAUGUAGUAUAAUUAUUUUUAAUAAUUAAUUAGAAAUGAAAUGUUAAUCGUUUUUAAAAAUAUCUAGUUUUUUUAGAAAAAAAUUUAAUUUUAAAUAUUAUAAUCUAAAAUUUUUAUUUAAUAAAAUUUUAAUAGUGUUAAUAUUAAAUAUUUUAAGGGAUAAGCUUUAAAAUAAAUUUUUAUAAUAAGUUUUAAAAUUAAUUAAAAUUUUAAAAUUUAAAUUGUUUAAUAAAUUAUAAUUUUUUAUAAAUAAUUUAAUUAUAAUUAAAAUUUAAUAAAAAAAAUUUAAAUUUUUAUAAAAAAAUAUAUUUUAAUAAAAUAAAAUUAAAUAUAAUGAUAAAAUUAGUAUAUAAAUUUAAAUAAAUGAAUAAAUUUAAUUGAAGUUAAUUAAAGGAAUUCGGCAAAUUUUAUAUUCACUUGUUUAUCAAAAACAUGUCUUUUUGGAAAUAAUUUAAAGUCUAAUCUGCCCACUGAUAAAUUAUUAAAGGGCUGCAGUAUUUUGACUGUACAAAGGUAGCAUAAUCAUUAGUCUCUUAAUUGGUGACUUGUAUGAAAGAUUGGAUGAAAUAUAUACUGUCUCUAUUUAAUUUAUAAAAUUUAAUUUUUUAGUAAAAAAGCUAAAAUGAGUUUAAAAGACGAGAAGACCCUAUAGAGUUUGAUAGUUUAUUUAAUUAUUAUUAAUAUAUAAAUUUUAAAAUUAAGAUUAAAUAAUUUAUUUUAUUGGGGUGAUAGAAAAAUUAAAUUAACUUUUUUUUUAUUUUAUACAUUAAUUUAUGAAUAAAUGAUCUAUUAAUAAUGAUUAAAAGAAAAAAUUACCUUAGGGAUAACAGCGUAAUUUUUUUUUUUAGUUCAAAUAGGAAAAAAAGUUUGCGACCUCGAUGUUGGAUUAAGAUAAAAUUUAAAUGCAAAAGUUUAAAAUUUUGAUCUGUUCGAUCAUUAAAAUCUUACAUGAUCUGAGUUCAAACCGGUGUGAGCCAGGUUGGUUUCUAUCUUUAAAUAAUAAUGAUAUUUUAGUACGAAAGGAUCAAAUAUUAAAAAUAAUUUUAAUAAAAUGAAUAUUAAUAAAUAAUUAAUUUA
This 1331-nucleotide ribosomal RNA is filed under the name Papilio krishna (Krishna peacock). Its description in RNAcentral is "16S ribosomal RNA". Lineage: Eukaryota; Metazoa; Arthropoda; Insecta; Lepidoptera; Papilionidae. The record is from RNAcentral.